Molecule: long non-coding RNA, 3554 nt
Filed under: Malus domestica (apple)
Lineage: Eukaryota; Viridiplantae; Streptophyta; Magnoliopsida; Rosales; Rosaceae
Description: long non-coding RNA (MDOM_LNC012709)
Source: RNAcentral
AGUACUUCAAAGUAAAGGUGAGCUUAUGCUCAUUACAACAUUUGCAUAUAACAAAUUACUUUAAAGUAAAGAAGAGCUUAAGCCCUUUUACAACAUUUGAUCAAAUCAAAUUACAACCAAAAUCUAAUCUACACAUUCCCAUGGUUCAAACAAAUUUGAAACGCCUUUCACAUAGCUCAAUUAUAUUAGGCUUAGGUUCAUAAUCACCCUUUAAUUAAUUAACACUUUAACUAAUUAAAUUGAAUGCAACAUUUUCAUUUGGUUUUUGUAUCCAUAAAAUUGAUUUAAAUGGAGCUAAACAAAAUGAAAAUCCAAUUCUCAUUUAAAGAGACAAAAACAAUUUUGUUCUCAUCCUAUUUGGGCCAUCAUGCAAUUAACCUCAACUUUUUGGGCCAUAUUGCAAAAACAAAAACUUUUGGGGUCACUUUGUACAAUACACAAAAGUCACUACUUCAUGUAAAUACAACUAGAACCCAAAACUUUUAAUAAUGCAAAAACUUCAUUAAAGGAGCAAAACAAUUUGUCCUUUAGCGUUUUUGGACCUAAACGUAAAAACGUAAACUUUUGGGCCAAAGUGCAAAUACACAAAAAGUAUCAAAACUUUAUGUAAUUGCAUAAAAGCCCCAAAAGUACUCCCUUUGAGGGAGUGGCCGGUUUUGGGGAGAGGAUAAGAGUGAUGUGUGUGUUGAUUUGUGAGUUUUGUCAAAAACAAUCAAGUGGUGUAAGAUAAGAAUUUUAUCAUUAUUUCUAUCAACCUUUCAUAAAAAUAAUAUAAGUUUUGAUGAUAGAUUUUUCUAUUGCCAUUUAAUCAAAUAUUUAACACUUUAAAUACAUGAUAAAUCAUUUGAAAAACAUAUCACAUAAACUUUAUGAAAUAAAUCAAAACUUUGAAUCAAAACACCAAACCUUUUUGUUCUUGGCAAGAACAUCAAGAACAAUGAAGAACAUCCAUGAAAAACCCAAAUUUUUCCAUGAACUUUUUUCACCCAAAAACAUUCCAAAACCAUUCUUACUUAAGGGAAAUAACAUCUAACCAAACUAGGGUACUUAGGGGUUCCAAAGAACACAUUAAAACACUUUUAACAAGUCAAACAAGAACCCAAAAAAUCCACCCUUUGGAUUUGGCCGAAUUUUCCCAAAAGCAUGGCACCAAAUUUUAGCUCCAAUAUUCAUGCUCAUAUGAACAACAUCUACAACAUUUGAGAUGGCAAAUUUUCCAACAAAAUUUACUUUCAAAGAAGCAAGAAUAAAGCUUGUAACAAUUACAACUUUUAAAUCACAAACUUAUGAACUACAAAACCCAAAAGGAUUCACCAACUACUAGACCUAGGCUCUGAUACCACUUGAAGGAAAAUUUUUGGGAAAACAUGUUCAUUUGAGCAACAUCAUAUAGCAUGCAAUUAACAAUUAAAGGCGGAAUCAUGCUUGUAUGCACUCAAAAACAAAACAUUACCAUGAAAUUCAAAGCCUAGUAGAUUGGUGAACCAAUAAUCAACUCAAAACAAAGUGAGUUGAAAUUAAUACCUUUGUAGAUUCCUCUUUGCAUAAGCAAAGGCUAAUCACCCAAAGAGAUAGGGCCUUCAUUCCUUGCUUCUUAGAUCCAUGGAUUUGGAUGGAAGAAUAGGUUCUCCAAGUUCCCAAAAUUGAGAACCUCUAAGUCUCUUCACCAAGGUUAGAUUGUAGAAGAAAUGAGUGACCUUGGAGUAGUAGGAUUGCUAGAUGUACCCUCCAAGGUGUUGGCCUCUUUAGAGAGAAAAUGGAGAGACAAUUCUCACCAAUUUUCCCCAAAAAUAAACCCUUUUUAAUCCUUAAUGAAUAUUUGGCUAUAAAGUCAUUUAUAUAGUCACUUCUUUAAGUGACCUAAACAACCAAAACCCUAAUUCAUUCCAUAUGGCCGGCCAUUUAGGGAUUUUUGGGCUUUUGGGCUUUAAUGAAUCUUUAUUCAUUAAAUUGUCAUACAACUUAAGUUAAUGGGCUUGACGUUCGAAGCCCAUUGGGCCUUAAGGUCCAAAACUAUCCCGAAGUCUUUAACGAACUUAUUCGUUUGAUUAAUUAACAUAUUAAUUAAUCCUUGCCAUAAAUAAAUGAUUAAACCAUUUAAUCAUUCUUACUCAUUUCCGUUUAAUCUCCAAUCUCUACCUUUUAUGGUGUGCGAUCCAUUAGGUUCCUUUUAGCGAGGUAGUGGGCGAUUAAAACCAUUUUACAUCGAUUGUGAAUUGAAACUAUUUUCAAUUCUCCCUUUAGUGAUUACACACGUUUAGGGCUUCCACAAACCAUGAGUGACACCUAGCAGCAUAUCAUGGUUACCCAAGCUAAUCAGAAGAGGUGGAGAACCUAUUCAGUUCGAGAUUACAAAUGCAAUACGGUCUUUCUCUAAUCUAAUACUCUUGACCACAUUGUUUGGUUUGAUAGUUUAUUUUCUCAUGUCUACUAUCCAAUGUGUGUCUUGUGCUUAUAUGAUUACCUUGAAUGUGAUUCGGAACGCAUUCCCUAAUCUCAUUCAUACUCUGGCCAGAGAUCAUAUCAAAUCCCUCAAACCUUGUUGAAGGUUAGAGAUCCCUUGUUGCGCAUUCACUUGUCUCCAUAGCUAAGUGGCUUGACCCAACAACGAUGCCGUGGACACCCUCCUGAUGGAGUGACUUUGACAUAAUCAUCAAAGAUCAAGGACUUAACCACAAACAACUAUGAUGCCUCAGGUCAAAGGACUACUUUGCAUUAUCCCAACCAUGAGUUUCUCAUGUGACAUGGAAUAUGAGAACCCUUCGUUGAUCGCGUUCAGUGAACUCAUUCUCUAUUGAGCACCUACCGUACUUGUCUUGAUGUCACACACACCAAUGACUCGAGACUUAUCACUCUCCCUGAGAGAAGACAUAGUACGUACUGAUCUUAACGGACUGUCAAUGCCCAAUUGGCAAUCCUAUGAUCAGGAACGUUUAGGAUGUGUCUACGAAAGAAUGGUCUCAUGAAUCUAACUUCAUUAGAUUACAUUCUCCCAAUCACAUAUUCCUUGGACUUUAUUGUUUAAGCAUAUAACAUUUAUAUGAGACGGCUCAAACAAUAAUCUUUGCCCUUUAUAUGUAAAACUAGAUUAGUUUAACAUGUGAAAUGUCCGUAAAGUAUCAUCACAUGAUUGGCUUUAGGGCACAUUUCCAACAGGAUGACUAUGAACCUUUGUUUAGAUUCAACACAGUGUUGAAUCUCGGUCUAGGGAUGGUUAUUGAUUUUAGUUACGCGUUUAAUCACAUUAAGGCGUGUUGUCUUAGGGGCGUUGGACCCAACUACUUCAUUUUCAUGCAUAUCAAAUGAAGCAAGAAAGAAGUACUUCAAAGUAAAGGUGAGCUUAUGCUCAUUACAACAUUUGAACAAUUCAAAUUACUUUAAAGUAAAGAAGAGCUUAAGCUCUUUUACAACAUUUGAUCAAAUCAAAUUACAACCAAAAUCUAAUCUACACAUUCCCAUGGUUCAAACAAAUUUGAAACGGUCUUUCACAUAGCUCAAUUAUCGUAGGCUUAGGUUCAUAAUCACCCUUUAAUUAAUUAACACUUUAACUAAUU